AACGAACGCUGGCGGCAUGCCUAACACAUGCAAGUCGAACGAGACCUUCGGGUCUAGUGGCCCACGGCUGCGUCACGCGUGGGAACCUGCCCUUAGGUUCGGAAUAACUCCCCGAAAGGGGUGCUAAUACCGGAUAAUGUCUUCGGACCAAAGAUUUAUCGCCUCUGGAUGGGCCCGCGUUGGAUUAGCUAGUUGGUAGGGUAAAAGCCUACCAAGGCGACGAUCCAUAGCUGGUCUGAGAGGAUGAUCAGCCACACUGGGACUGAGACACGGCCCAGACUCCUACGGGAGGCAGCAGUGGGGAAUAUUGGACAAUGGGCGAAAGGAUGAUCCAGCAAUGCCGGGUGAGUGAUGAAGGCCUUAGGGUUGUAAAGCUCUUUUACCCGGGAUGAUAAUGACAGUACCGGGAGAAUAAGCUCCGGCUAACUCCGUG
RNAcentral lists this ribosomal RNA (433 nucleotides) under uncultured bacterium. Its description in RNAcentral is "partial 16S ribosomal RNA". It matches the Rfam family "Bacterial small subunit ribosomal RNA", at positions 29 to 507 of the family's 1533-position model. The record is from RNAcentral.